Molecule: long non-coding RNA, 207 nt
Filed under: Brassica rapa (field mustard)
Lineage: Eukaryota; Viridiplantae; Streptophyta; Magnoliopsida; Brassicales; Brassicaceae
Description: long non-coding RNA (BRAP_LNC002054)
Source: RNAcentral
AAGGACGUGAACUGGGAACCCAAACCUCGAAGGAAGAACAUGAAUAUUAAUGUGAAAGACGUGUAAUUUUUUUUUUUUUGCUAAUCGAGUAUUCUGACCCCACCGAAGUGGUCUAGACUAGAGACCGAAGUGGUUUAGACUAGAGAUCGAAGUGAGCAUGAACGCUGCUAGGACGUCACCAUGUGGCUUACCGUGUAACGGUCUUCG